UUUUAAUAUAAAUAUAGUUGGGCAGUAAAUUUAUGGUAGUAUUUAUUCAGUUUUGGUUUCUUCUAUCAUUGUUGUUCCCACAGUAUUUUAAUUUCCCUUUUGAUAAUUUAUUUAUUUGGAUAGUGCAAAGGGAAGAAAUUUCAGGAUCCUCUCGGCGCUUCUUUUUGUUGGUGGAGAGAUAAUAUCUUUGUGAAGUGUCUAUAUAGAUAGUUUGUAUUGCAACUUUCAUAUUGUGUUUUUAUUAUAAAUUUCUGUAAUUUGGGCGAGUAUUCAAGUUAUGAUGAUUUCUCCGUUUUUGAGAUAACGGACUGAUUUUUUGUUAUUGGUUGCGUUUAUAGGUUCGGGGUGAAUUACCAUUUCUGAAGUGUAAAGUAACAUUAGAUUAUGUGAUAUUCUCAGAUAAAGCUUCUGCUGAGAAAGUAACAUCAAAUUUCUCAAAUAUAGUGAGCCAAAUGGCUCAAGAUCUUGGCAGGUUUCCCCCCCCAAUCGUUACAACAAUGAUUAUAGACAAUUCUAGUUAGAGCUGUUUCAUUGGAACAUGAAUCAAAGAAGUAUUUGCUUGGAAGGCAAAAAUUUCAUGGAACUGUGAUUUGAUUGCUUGAUAUAAAAUUAAAAUUAUAUUGAAAUAUCAUUUGAAUAGCGGCUUAUGUGGAAUUCCACUUCUAUAACAUCUGAACACACAAAAUGCAUACAUAUCUAUGUACAGGCCUAUAACCAUGCAAUGAGAUAUUGAAUCGUUUUGCAGCUUUUAGUGUUUAAUAAUUUA
Molecule: non-coding RNA, 766 nt
Organism: Cicer arietinum (chickpea)
Lineage: Eukaryota; Viridiplantae; Streptophyta; Magnoliopsida; Fabales; Fabaceae
Source: RefSeq, a predicted model, not a curated record